CCGGGGGCGGGGAGAGGGGCGGGGCUUUCCGCCGAAAGGGGGCGGGGCGCGCGGAGGAGGCGGGGCGAGCGCAGGGGAGGCUGGCGAGCAGAGAGUGCCCUUGUGUCGCCAGCCGGCGAGCGGCUGGGAGCGAGCAGCCGCCCCGCGCCGCCAGCGGGACGGGACGGGACAGCACGGCACGGGACAGCACGGCGCGGGGCGGGACAGGCCGGGCCGCAGGGACAGCCGGACCGACCCGCCGGUAGGGGCGAGGGGAGCCAGCGGGGGCAGCCGGCACCGCUCGGUGGAGGGAAGCAGCCCGGCGGCGGCAGAGCCGGCGGGGAGAGCUGCUCCCCCCACUUCCCUCCCCAAUCCACCCCCGCGACCCCGGCCCUCCUCCUCCUCCUCCUCCUCACCCCACUGGAUACAGCGAGGGAGACACUGCGGCGGCGGAGGCGGCGGCGGCGGCUCCUGCGGGGGGAAGGAAGCGCCCGGAGAGCGGAGCGGCGGGAGGCUGCGGAUCUGCGUGCCUGGCGCCCACCCAGCCCGAGGGGAGCCCCCAGGAUGCGGCUCAAGCCCGGCGCGCUCCUGCGCUUCUACAGCCUCUGCGGGAUCCUCAUGCAAGAUGUAUGUGCAUAGAAAGAGCUCAGCGAGUACUCGCCGAGAACAGUGGGAUGUUUCUAGUGAACAUGGACAGCACCUGCCUGUUGUGUUGUCUAGUCCUUCAGAUGUCCAUUUAUAAAACUGGGUUUCAGCAUUGAUGCUUGUGUUUAUCUGAAAUUACAUUUCACAAACGGUUCCCAAACAAAAAUAAAAACCACUUUGCUUUUGAAAGCUUCCUUGGG
This 824-nucleotide long non-coding RNA is filed under the name Anser cygnoides (Swan goose). RNAcentral's name for it is "lncRNA (ENSACDG00005007371.1)". The record is from RNAcentral. Lineage: Eukaryota; Metazoa; Chordata; Aves; Anseriformes; Anatidae.